GUGAGGUAAAGGCUCACCUAGGCGACGAUCAGUAGCGGGUCUGAGAGGAUGAUCCGCCACACUGGGACUGAGACACGGCCCAGACUCCUACGGGAGGCAGCAGUGGGGAAUUUUGGACAAUGGGCGCAAGCCUGAUCCAGCCAUGCCGCGUGUCUGAAGAAGGCCUUCGGGUUGUAAAGGACUUUUGUCAGGGAGGAAAUCCCUAGCGCUAAUAUCGCUGGGGGAUGACAGUACCUGAAGAAUAAGCACCGGCUAACUACGUGCCAGCAGCCGCGGUAAUACGUAGGGUGCAAGCGUUAAUCGGAAUUACUGGGCGUAAAGCGUGCGCAGGCGGUUGUGUAAGUCUGAUGUGAAAGCCCCGGGCUUAACCUGGGAACUGCAUUGGGGACUGCACAGCUAGAGUGCGUCAGAGGGGGGUAGAAUUCCGCGUGUA
Molecule: ribosomal RNA, 433 nt
Filed under: uncultured bacterium
Lineage: Bacteria
Description: bacterial SSU rRNA
Rfam family: Bacterial small subunit ribosomal RNA
Source: RNAcentral